AUUGAACGCUGGCGGCAUGCCUUACACAUGCAAGUCGAACGGUAACGGGCCUUCGGGUGCCGACGAGUGGCGAACGGGUGAGUAAUGCAUCGGAACGUACCUUUCAGUGGGGGAUAACGUAGCGAAAGUUACGCUAAUACCGCAUAUUCUGUGAGCAGGAAAGCAGGGGAUCGCAAGACCUUGCGCUGAUUGAGCGGCCGAUGUCAGAUUAGCUAGUUGGUGAGGUAAAGGCUCACCAAGGCGACGAUCUGUAGCGGGUCUGAGAGGAUGAUCCGCCACACUGGAACUGAGACACGGUCCAGACUCCUACGGGAGGCAGCAGUGGGGAAUUUUGGACAAUGGGGGCAACCCUGAUCCAGCCAUGCCGCGUGAGUGAAGAAGGCCUCGGGUUGGUUAAAGACGUCUUUCGGUCCGGGACGGAAAGUAC
RNAcentral lists this ribosomal RNA (427 nucleotides) under uncultured bacterium. Its description in RNAcentral is "bacterial SSU rRNA". It matches the Rfam family "Bacterial small subunit ribosomal RNA", at positions 30 to 455 of the family's 1533-position model. The record is from RNAcentral.